CAAGGGGACUGACGCACCAAUGUCGUGUGAGGGAAGAAGGCCUUCGGGUCGUAAACCUCUGUCAGAAGGGAAGAACCGCCAGGAGUCAAAUACGCUCUUGUUCUGACUGUACCUUCAAAGGAAGCGCCGGCUAACUCCGUGCCACCAGCCGCGGUAAUACGGAGGGGGCAGGCGUUAAUCGGAAUUACGGGGCGUAAAGCGUGCGUAGGCUGUUUGAUAAUUCAAACUUGAAAUCCCUCGGUUCACCCGGGGAAUUGCUUUUGAUACUGUUGGACUAGACUCCUGGAGAGGGUGGCGAAUUUCCUGGUGUAGGAGUGAAAUCCGUAGAUAUCAGGAGGAACACCGGUGGCGAAGGCGGCCACCUGGACAGGUACUGACUCUGAUGCACAAACGCGUGGGGAGCAAACAGGAUUAUAUACCCUGGUACUCCACGCGGUACACGAUGGAUGCUAAGUGUCUGGCAGCGAUCUUCGGCUCCGCAACUAACGCAUUAAACAUCCCGCCUGGGGAAUACGGUCGCCAGGGUG
This 527-nucleotide ribosomal RNA is filed under the name Desulfovibrio sp. enrichment culture. Its description in RNAcentral is "bacterial SSU rRNA". It matches the Rfam family "Bacterial small subunit ribosomal RNA", at positions 369 to 896 of the family's 1533-position model. The record is from RNAcentral. Lineage: Bacteria; Pseudomonadati; Thermodesulfobacteriota; Desulfovibrionia; Desulfovibrionales; Desulfovibrionaceae.